RNAcentral lists this transfer RNA (72 nucleotides) under Candidatus Wallbacteria bacterium HGW-Wallbacteria-1. Its description in RNAcentral is "tRNA-Gly". It matches the Rfam family "tRNA". Rfam says of the family: Transfer RNA (tRNA) molecules are approximately 80 nucleotides in length. Their secondary structure includes four short double-helical elements and three loops (D, anti-codon, and T loops). Lineage: Bacteria; Candidatus Walliibacteriota. The record is from RNAcentral.
GCGGAAGUAGCUCAGUGGUAGAGCUCUUGCUUGCCAAGCAAGAGGUCGCGGGUUCAAAUCCCGUCUUCCGCU